Molecule: non-coding RNA, 782 nt
Organism: Musa acuminata subsp. malaccensis (wild Malaysian banana)
Lineage: Eukaryota; Viridiplantae; Streptophyta; Magnoliopsida; Zingiberales; Musaceae
Source: RefSeq, a predicted model, not a curated record
UCGUUAUUAAAGUCGCGAUAUGGACCGUAGGUUCGCGCGAUGUAUGGCUCAGAUCAAGCUUGACGAGCCGGGCUCAUCACUAAACCGGGUUGCUUAUCGGCUCGGGUCGACUCGGGUAAACUGCCGACUCUAGUUUCCGAGUCGAUUCUAGCGGGUUCUUAUAAAAGGUCAAAAAAAAAAAAACAUAACGAAAAAGAAAAGGCCUCCACGCGACGCGACUCGACCAGCGUUUUUGGCUGCCGUCGGACGAGACGGCUCCCCUCUGCAACUGCGAAGGUCGCUUCCCCUCUGCCGCUGACGAAGGCGACCAUCUAUCCUCUGCCACUGUCCCGGGCACCUCAUCCAUCUGAGGGCAUUUGUACAAUUAGAAUGGCAAAAGGAUUAGUAUGGCAACUACUGAAGACUUGGCAAGGAACCUAGCAAGUCAUUGUACCAUCAAAUCUUGAGAAGCCUCAACCCCCCAGAACUCCUACUUACCCAUGCUGCUCGUCUUGCCAAGAAAGCAGAGGUCCACAGCAUCUUCUUGUUCGGAGCUGAAGAACGUUCUCUUCGCAACAUUGCUGACCUCAUUGAUGCUGCUAAUUACUCCCUUUCCAUCCUUAAUCAGGGUCGCCUCCCAUAGUAUACAAAUGUCGAUAGGAACUCUUGUUUGCCCUCUCACACUAAUCCUUGGAACUGUCUAUCGUAUUGCUUCAUUGUAUUAUGACCUUUGAAGUGAAACUUGUUAAAAUAUGCACUUUAAUGAGGAUUGUUAACCUGGAUAUCAUUUAUGCUUUGUUGCA